RNAcentral lists this ribosomal RNA (254 nucleotides) under uncultured bacterium. RNAcentral's name for it is "partial 16S ribosomal RNA". It matches the Rfam family "Bacterial small subunit ribosomal RNA", at positions 524 to 776 of the family's 1533-position model. The record is from RNAcentral.
UACGGGGGGGGUAAGCGUUGUUCGGAUUUACUGGGCGUAAAGGGCGCGUAGGCGGCCACCGCAAGUCAGUUGUGAAAUCUCCGAGCUUAACUCGGAAAGGUCAACUGAUACUGCGGGGCUAGAGUGCGGAAGGGGCAACUGGAAUUCUUGGUGUAGCGGUGAAAUGCGUAGAUAUCAAGAGGAACACCUGCGGCGAAGGCGGGUUGCUGGGCCGACACUGACGCUGAGGCGCGAAAGCUAGGGGAGCGAACGGG